Long non-coding RNA from Pseudopipra pipra, 330 nucleotides. RefSeq lists it as uncharacterized. NCBI's taxonomy places the organism in Eukaryota, Metazoa, Chordata, Aves, Passeriformes, Pipridae. The transcript has 2 exons. The record is from RefSeq and is a predicted model, not a curated record.
GGCUCAGCGGGUUCUGGGCAUCCUCACCCCCGAGUGCAAACCCAGUCUCAGGAGCUACUCGGGACUCUCUUGACCAAGCAGGCAGACCCUGAGCGGAACCAUAACUGAGUGGAAUUUGGGGACUGUGGGUGGAUCUUCCUGUGCUGACUACUCUUGGCUACCCUUUAGGCUGUACAUUUCUACCGCCGUGGACAAAUAAUAAUAGCCUCAAGCCAACCUUGAGACACUUAACAAUGUGGUACAUCCGCCAGCCAGUCCUCUGGAGCAUCCUAAGUCUAUUUCAGUAAUUCCUAAGAAAACUGAGAAUAAAGCGCUUGAAUUUUAAUCCCA